Molecule: non-coding RNA, 751 nt
Organism: Paramisgurnus dabryanus
Lineage: Eukaryota; Metazoa; Chordata; Actinopteri; Cypriniformes; Cobitidae
Source: RefSeq, a predicted model, not a curated record
UGCACAAUGAACAUUAUCAAAUAUUAUUAAUGUUGUAAAAUAUAUUGUUCAUUGUUAGUUCAUAUUAGCUAAGGCAUUACCAAAUGUUAAGGAAUAAACUCUUAUAGUAAAGUGUUACUAAAUUUUCUUUUACCAUUUCCUUCACAAUGUCUACUUAUUUCUAUGGCUAACAGAUUUUGUAACAUUUGUCUUUUUUACAGUCUUACCAUUGCUUGUAAGCUGGAUUGGGUAAGAUGGAUCAUCUUUAAAGGCACCAGGAGUUAAGGCAGAUGUGGAGGCACAACGUGUGAUACCAGACACACACCAAGCACAUUAUGUUCGGACAUUCAAUCAUGACAUGAUCCAUGUGGAUGCUGUCCAUUGAGGAAAGAGUUUGUUCAGCGGUUUCUGGAUAGAAUUAAUUCCAAAGAUGGGAAAAAGUGCACAUCCAGACAAGGAGCAAGCAAAAAGACAAGGAACUUGGUGCAGAGAAAAGCUGUGGCCAUUAACCCCCAUGUGAACAGCUUCAUGCAGUCCCUGAUUGAGUUCGAAUGGACGACUUCAAAGUAAAGGCCACUGUGGUCUGUCUGCCACAGUUUAAUGCAUUUAUUUUUAGUGUUAAAUGAAAUUUAAGUAGAAUAUUUAAAACUAUGGGCCAUUGUUCUUUUUACCACAGUGAAAUGUUACCUUUUAGUCGAUGAUGGACUUUAAACUGAAAACUUCAAACUAUGGAACAGUGUUCUAUUUGCCAGAGUUAAAUAUGUUACAGCAG